CGCGGGGUAGAGCAGUUUGGUAGCUCAUCGGGCUCAUAACCCGAAGGUCGCAGGUUCGAAUCCUGCCCCCGCUACUA
This 77-nucleotide transfer RNA is filed under the name Longimonas halophila. RNAcentral's name for it is "tRNA-Met". It matches the Rfam family "tRNA". Rfam says of the family: Transfer RNA (tRNA) molecules are approximately 80 nucleotides in length. Their secondary structure includes four short double-helical elements and three loops (D, anti-codon, and T loops). Lineage: Bacteria; Pseudomonadati; Rhodothermota; Rhodothermia; Rhodothermales; Salisaetaceae. The record is from RNAcentral.